GACGGACGCUGGCGGCGUGCUUAACGCAUGCAAGUCGAACGGAAAGGCCCUGCUUUUGUGGGGUGCUCGAGUGGCGAACGGGUGAGUAACACGUGAGUAACCUGCCCUUGACUUUGGGAUAACUUCAGGAAAUUGGGGCUAAUACCGGAUAGGAGCUCCUGCUGCAUGGUGGGGGUUGGAAAGUUUCGGCGGUUGGGGAUGGACUCGCGGCUUAUCAGCUUGUUGGUGGGGUAGUGGCUUACCAAGGCUUUGACGGGUAGCCGGCCUGAGAGGGUGACCGGCCACAUUGGGACUGAGAUACGGCCCAGACUCCUACGGGAGGCAGCAGUGGGGAAUAUUGCACAAUGGGCGGAAGCCUGAUGCAGCAACGCCGCGUGCGGGAUGACGGCCUUCGGGUUGUAAACCGCUUUCGCCUGUGACGAAGCGUGAGUGACGGUAAUGGGUAAAGAAGCACCGGCUAACUACGUG
This 468-nucleotide ribosomal RNA is filed under the name uncultured bacterium. RNAcentral describes it as "partial 16S ribosomal RNA". It matches the Rfam family "Bacterial small subunit ribosomal RNA", at positions 28 to 507 of the family's 1533-position model. The record is from RNAcentral.